RNAcentral lists this ribosomal RNA (372 nucleotides) under uncultured Glomeromycotina. RNAcentral describes it as "eukaryotic LSU rRNA". Lineage: Eukaryota; Fungi; Glomeromycota. The record is from RNAcentral.
UUGAAAGGGAAACGAUUGAAGUCAGUCGUACCUGCGGAUAAUCAGCCUUUAGGAUGCGAUUUUGUGGAGCGUGAGGAGCUAAUCGCCUUCAUGCCUGUAUAUUCGUGUACUUGGGGUGUACUUAUUCGUGUGGUAAGUUAACAUCAAUUUUGGUUGUCAUAAAAUGACUGGAGGAAUGUAGCUUCGAUCUCGUAUUGAAGUGUUAUAGCCUUUGGUAGAUGUGAUUAUCGGGAUUGAGGAUUGCAACGGAUACCCUUCGGGGCUACUUGUCUGAUCUCUGAUCGUUGCUCUGGUGCCGAAAGCGUGCUUACGGUUAUCAAAGUCGAUGGUUAAUAGGUUAGAACGGGUUAAUUCGUUAAGGAUGUUGACGUA